UGGACAAGAUCCAGUUUAGCAUGGUUUGUGCC
This 32-nucleotide non-coding RNA is filed under the name Mus musculus (house mouse). Lineage: Eukaryota; Metazoa; Chordata; Mammalia; Rodentia; Muridae. The record is from RNAcentral.